AGAGUUUGAUCAUGGCUCAGGACGAACGCUGGCGGCGUNNUUAACACAUGCAAGUCGAACGAUGAUCCGGUGCUUGCACCGGGGAUUAGUGGCGAACGGGUGAGUAACACGUGAGUAACCUGCCCUGGACUCUGGGAUAACCCCGAGAAAUCGGAGCUAAUACCGGAUAGGACCUGGAGCCGCAUGGUUUUGGGUGGAAAGUUUUUUCGGUCUGGGAUGGACUCGCGGCCUAUCAGCUUGUUGGUGAGGUAAUGGCUCACCAAGGCGUCGACGGGUAGCCGGCCUGAGAGGGUGACCGGCCACACUGGGACUGAGACACGGCCCAGACUCCUACGGGAGGCAGCAGUGGGGAAUAUUGCACAAUGGGCGAAAGCCUGAUGCAGCAACGCCGCGUGAGGGAUGACGGCCUUCGGGUUGUAAACCUCUUUUAGUAAGGAAGAAGGGGAGCUUGCUCCUUGACGGUACUUGCAGAAAAAGCACCGGCUAACUACGUGCCAGCAGCCGCGGUAAUACGUAGGGUGCGAGCGUUGUCCGGAAUUAUUGGGCGUAAAGAGCUCGUAGGCGGUUUGUCACGUCUGCUGUGAAAUCCCGAGGCUCAACCUCGGGCCUGCAGUGGGUACGGGCAGACUGGAGUGCGGUAGGGGAGAAUGGAAUUCCUGGUGUAGCGGUGGAAUGCGCAGAUAUCAGGAGGAACACCGAUGGCGAAGGCAGUUCUCUGGGCCGUAACUGACGCUGAGGAGCGAAAGCGUGGGGAGCGAACAGGAUUAGAUACCCUAGUAGUCC
Molecule: ribosomal RNA, 783 nt
Filed under: uncultured bacterium
Lineage: Bacteria
Description: bacterial SSU rRNA
Rfam family: Bacterial small subunit ribosomal RNA
Source: RNAcentral